GUGUCAGCAGCCGCGGUAAUACGAAUGGGGCAAGCGUUGUUCGGAAUCACUGGGCUUAAAGCGUGCGCAGGCGGAUUUGCAAGUCGGGAGUGAAAUCCCAGGGCUCAACCCUGGAACUGCUCUCGAAACUGCAAAUCUAGAAUACCGGAGAGGUUGGGAGAAUUCCUAGUGUAGAGGUGAAAUUCGCAGAUAUUAGGAGGAAUACCAGUGGCGUAGGCGCCCAACUGGACGGUUAUUGACGCUCAUGUACGAAAGCGUGGGGAGCAAACAGGAUUAGAUACCCUGGUAGUCCACGCCGUAAACGAUGUGUGCUAGUUGUCAGGCCCUCACGGGUUUGGUGACGCAGGGAAACCAAUAAGCACACCGCCUGGGGAGUACGGCCGCAAGGCUAAAACUUAAAUGAAUUGACGGGG
Molecule: ribosomal RNA, 413 nt
Filed under: uncultured bacterium
Lineage: Bacteria
Description: bacterial SSU rRNA
Rfam family: Bacterial small subunit ribosomal RNA
Source: RNAcentral